UCUGGACUACCAGUGAAAACCAGCACAACCAAGAGCAAAGCAAUAUGCGUGGUUUCCCUAUGCAUUGCAGAUGCAUAAUACAAGUUUUUCAAAAUUUUUAAAAUUAUCUGUUUCUCAUUCUGUCAAAGUUUUCAAUGAGAGCUUUAAAUUAUUUUUGUCCAAAUGUUGACAUAAAAACAUAUACUAUGUUAUCUUAUGCUAUAAAUUUGACAAUUCAGAUAAAAUGGGCAAAUCCCAAGAAGUGCAAAACUUACUUAAACUGAUUCACAAAGAAAAGUCUUAAUCUGUAUUAAGGGGAGGGUAUCAAACACGAUCAUAUUUAGUGUAUUUGCAGUAAGCCUUGAUAGCUGGAUGUAGGUAAUGGGAA
Molecule: long non-coding RNA, 367 nt
Filed under: Pan troglodytes (chimpanzee)
Lineage: Eukaryota; Metazoa; Chordata; Mammalia; Primates; Hominidae
Description: long non-coding RNA NONPTRT007501
Source: RNAcentral